Long non-coding RNA from Manihot esculenta (cassava), 669 nucleotides. RefSeq lists it as uncharacterized. The record is from RefSeq and is a predicted model, not a curated record. The transcript has 3 exons. NCBI's taxonomy places the organism in Eukaryota, Viridiplantae, Streptophyta, Magnoliopsida, Malpighiales, Euphorbiaceae.
GUGGUUUGAGCCCACUCACUUUGAAAACACAAUCAAGCGCCAACUGUUAGAAGUUCAGAGGACAAGGAACUUGAAUGCUGUAAAUUGUUGGCUUGAUUAGCGGGCGGAUUCUUUCUCUUGGAACAAAAAUCGAGCACAAAAAGAACUUCAUUUGUGAUGAAGUAAUGGAUAUAUGUGAAUAUUUCUUGUCCUCCUGAGGUUCUUGGAAAAAAAUUGCUUUGCUACAACAUUGUUCAAUAUGUGAUCUGGUUGGUAAGCAGGAGCUGUGAGGGCGGUGGAAGAAGCAGUUUUCUUUUGCUAUCACCUGGAUAGAACAUUAAUGGCUUAAUUACUGAUCGUUUUGUGACAAGUUGAUGCUUGGAAAAAAAAAAAAAAAAAGAGAAAAGCUAUGGGAGUACUCGGGCAGCAAUUUAAAUCUAAAACUAGAUGGAGCCCUAUGGUAAACGAAAUAUCGGCAUAAUUGAAAAUUUUAUGCCUGACUAGCUUACUAUUUCGGUUUUGAAGGUAUUUACAAGUUGAAGGCUAAAUUUCUGGAGCUUUUCAUCUAGUUUUGUUAAUGAAAAUUUAGUUAAUUUUUCAUAUUAAGGUACGCAUUCCACAUAAAUGGAUUGUGCUAUGAUGUAAAGUGGUCCUCAAGCUUUUAUAGUAUCAAUUUAUUGAUUUUCAUGC